CAGCUGCCACCCCGUUGAACCGCCACUGCCUGGCACAUGUCCCACGCAGACGAUCAAAGAGGGAUUUUACAGCAUGGCAGGGUUUCCCAGGGUGCUUGGCUGUAUCGACUGCACACACAUUCCGAUCUCUGCGUCCCUGGGAGAAAAUGAAGGCGACUAUGUCAAUCGCAAAUUCCUCCACAGCCUCAACAUUCAGGCCACCUGUGACCACAGGUGUGUCAUUACCAGCCUUGAGGCAAAGUGGCCUGGAUCAGUCCAUAACUCCAGGAUCCAUGACUCCAGGAUCUUCUCUGAGUCAUCACUGUAACUUAACGUCACAGCAGGCAUAACAACAG
Molecule: long non-coding RNA, 335 nt
Organism: Gymnodraco acuticeps
Lineage: Eukaryota; Metazoa; Chordata; Actinopteri; Perciformes; Bathydraconidae
Exons: 3
Source: RefSeq, a predicted model, not a curated record